Molecule: ribosomal RNA, 465 nt
Filed under: Vreelandella stevensii
Lineage: Bacteria; Pseudomonadati; Pseudomonadota; Gammaproteobacteria; Oceanospirillales; Halomonadaceae
Description: partial 16S ribosomal RNA
Rfam family: Bacterial small subunit ribosomal RNA
Source: RNAcentral
CCUACGGGUGGCUGCAGUGGGGAAUAUUGGACAAUGGGGGCAACCCUGAUCCAGCCAUGCCGCGUGUGUGAAGAAGGCCCUCGGGUUGUAAAGCACUUUCAGUGAGGAAGAACGCCUGGUGGUUAAUACCCAUCAGGAAAGACAUCACUCACAGAAGAAGCACCGGCUAACCCCGUGCCAGCAGCCGCGGUAAUACGGAGGGUGCGAGCGUUAAUCGGAAUUACUGGGCGUAAAGCGCGCGUAGGUGGCUUGAUAAGCCGGUUGUGAAAGCCCCGGGCUCAACCUGGGAACGGCAUCCGGAACUGUCAAGCUAGAGUGCAGGAGAGGAAGGUAGAAUUCCCGGUGUAGCGGUGAAAUGCGUAGAGAUCGGGAGGAAUACCAGUGGCGAAGGCGGCCUUCUGGACUGACACUGACACUGAGGUGCGAAAGCGUGGGUAGCAAACAGGAUUAGAUACCCUUGUAGUC